CUAGCCAAACUUGUAAACCUAACCCUAAAUUAAAAAUGGUUCCAUAAACUUGAAACAAAUUAACGCCCGAGGAGUGCUACAAAAAGGAAAAAAAGUUGUCUACAAACAAAGAGGCGAUAUUGAUAAAUUGGUGGAUACUAGUUUUUCCUAUUUUUAGCCUUCUUAUCACAACUUUCAACACUUCUAAUACUACACGUCCUAUUGGGUUUGAAAGCAGGGAGCAUGGUAUACAUCGAACAAGAUGUUGCAUCUAUCCCCUCAAGAAUUUGUAUGGGGAAAGGUGGUGGGGGCACUUCAAUAACACAUAAAUCGCUCUCCAGUCUUUAAACCUUGAUGAAAUCAAAUCCUACUGAAAAAAUCUGACCCAGGAGUUCAUUUUCUGAAAAUAAGAGACGUUUUGUCAUAUGAAAGCUCCACUAUUUUUUUGACAUAUUUAAUUCAAGAAAAGUACAGUUAAGUAUAACCUUUGACAUGUGUCAACGCCCAUUAAUGUUACAAAUCAUAUAUAGGCACGCCUUACUCAUUAACAUAUUUGAUUAUAGAAUUUAAUACGUUAAUUCGUAAAAUGCAUGCUAUAUAUAUAUAUAUAACUUGUAACAUUGCAUUACUGAUAGACAGUAAGUAAGAAAGGCACAAAAUGUGGUUAAAUACACAAAAAGGGGAGUUGUGUUUCAGCAAUUUACCGCACUGAACAUUUGUAUAUAUAUUCUUGUAUUAUGCUAACAUGAAACUUUCUAUAACUUUUAUAUCUCUUUUCUUACUAAAAAACUAUAUUUAAAAAUCUUCCCUCGGAUUUGUCUGUCCAAUUGAAUAUUUGCAAUUGAAUUGUGUUGCUGUUAAAGAUUGUUUAACAAGUAAGGUGUGAAUUCACAUUCGAAGAUCAACGUUCAUCCAUUUCGUAGAAUUAUUUUGCAGGCAAAACUGCAAUUCAUUAUCAUAAAGGCAGCAUUUUGAAUAAAAAAAUUAGUGCUCUACCUUUAAGUUUAAGAUUUAUUAUCUAUAAUAUUAUUUUACAUCUUUUCUACACUUUUAUUUAUUGACUGUUACUAUUUAAUGUUUACCAAAAACUUGUGUGAUUUUUUGUUACAAUUUCUGGUAUUUUUGUGAUAUUUUGUUUCUAUAGGACAUGGAGUUUGAUACAAACCAGAAAUGUUCUUAUUUGACCACAUAAUAUUAAACUAUUUAACUAUUUAAAAAGUUCAACAAGCAAUACAUUAAUUUACUAAAAAAUUAAUCAAAUACGAACAGAAUUUUUUUUUAUUUAUAAAUAGGUCAGUAUUUAUUUGUCAAGUAUAAUUCCAACUGAAUCCCUCAUUAAUAAAAUAGACGAUUGUGGGUCAAAAGGUCACGCGAUUUAACGGAAGUUUUAAAUCCCCAUUAUAUAUUAAAUGUUCAAUAGAGAAGGAUUUUCAACAAGAUAUAUAAAUUAGGGUACAAAAUGUUUAAAAAUCAAUCACUGUGAUAUUUUAUACACUUUAUUGUCUUGUAUUUUUUGUUACUUUUAAGCUAAAUUAUAUAAGAUUGUUUAAAGAUUGGUUGCUUGAACAAUCGACAAGGAGAUCAAUAGUAUAGUUUUUUUUUUAAAGUUAUUUUUGUCGAAUAAACAUAAUUUUUUUUAAUGUUUUACGGAUAUGCAUAUUUUCUAUUCAAAUAUUCCCACCGAAACACGUGUUUCUUUAUGUAACAUUUAAUAUAGAAAUAAGAACAUGUGGUAUGAUUGCCAAUGUGAAAUCUCUCUAUCGGAGAUUGACCAAAUGACGUAGGACUACAAAUGAGUGCUUACAUAUAGAAAGCAUCACGGAUUAAUACAUUUUGAUUGUAAUAAAACAAUUUUCAAAAACUUUCAGAAAUUAAAAAUUUGACAGGUUUUUUUUUCAUUUUAGCUGAAUAUCAAUUACUCAAUAAAACUAAAGCAAUGUUUCUAUUCUUAGUUUAACAAAAUUUGCAAUACAAUUUAUGAGAAAAGGCAUGACAUUUUGGCGUUGCAAUUCAAGGACUGUAUGCUGUUAGAUAGUACUCGGCAAAUUAAUUGAAAUAUGAGGGUUAAAGUGCAUGGAUAUUGAUUCAUUUAUAUAAGAGGGUAUCGAUGGGUUUACAGAAUAAAGCAUACUGGGCAAAAAAUUAAAGAAUAGAGAAAAAUGGGCAAAAGUCUAAAGCAUUGAGAAUAAUUGGCUUACAUAUAAAGAAUACAGAGAAAAAAAAAUUAAGAAUAGAGAAAAAUGUCCCAAAAAGUUAUAGAAUACUGAAAUGAAUACUCUACAUCAAGACUCUCAUGAAAUGAUACCUCAUUUUGUUGACAUUUAAGCAAUAAAGGUAUUGAAUUGAACACGUUGUAACCUCUAUAUGGUCAUACUGUCAUGGAGUCAUUUUAGACCUCAUUUUAUAUUUUUUGUGAAAAUUUAGUUUUCAGCAAAAAGGAAUAAGUUUAAGAUAUUUUAUUUAUUUAAAGUCCAUUUCGAAGCUGCAGUAUUGAUUAAAAGUAUUUUUGUUUUAUAUUCGUUCAUUAUUGUUGAAGGAAAUCAUUUUUAUAUUCUCGAUAUAUUUAAGAUAAAAAGUUCAAAUUUAACAGAUAUUUACUUUGGCAUUUGUCACUUUAUAUUUUCUCUUUGUUAGGCAUUAUUUUUUAUCAAUUUAAGAUGUUUAGCGACAAGCUAAGUGGACACAAUUAGACAUGUUUUUUACUAAGUCUUUUGUCCUUUAAACACAAACAAGUUGUUGUGUUAACAACAUAUGUCUAGGUAACCUGGUCAAUUAGGGUUCUUUGUCCUGUCCAGCAAAGAUCUUUCCACGCCCCUUUUACCCCAAAUUAUCAGGGUAACUAAGUGGCUCGGGUGUUUAACGAAUCUGAUUGGUCGAACCUGAAACAGUAACGCAAAAUCGAACAAGUGAAUUUCGGUCUCAAAAGUGGCACUUUCUCAUGCGCUUUUGAAGAUACAAGUUCUAAAACCUACUUCACUGUGUUUGUUAUAACUGUUUUCAGGUGAGUCAAGUAUUUUAAUUAUUCAAAGUUAAUAUGUUUCUUUCAUUAUUUUAUUCAAUUGAAUCAUGAAACUUCGUAAAGUUUCGUUUCCAUUUCAUUUAGUAAAGUUGAAGUUAAAUAUCUAUGAGUUCUGCAAGUAAAGAAGUUAAGAUCAAAUUGUUGUUUCUCGAUCAGUGUAAAUAGAUGUAUAUAUGUUCAAAAAAAGGUUGGUUUAUUCUUCACAAACUUUCUGUACUCAAGGGUAUUUUUAAACGCAUUAUAGAAUUUAGUUUUACGCUCGCAUGUUGGAAAUGAUAAUUUUAACUUAUCGCUUGUUUAUACUUAAUAAGACUUAAGGUCAGUUCUGCAAGGGUAAGAUGUCAAUUAUUUUAAUAAACGCUUUAUGCGUAAUUUCCACAUGUGUAGGCUAAUUUAAUAAGAAAUUAUUUAUCGUAAACUAUUCUUGUUGUUUAGCCCUAUAUUAUUACGAGUCAUGAAUUUUUGAUACAAAGCAAGCAUAUAUAUUUUAAAAGCUAGUUUCCCCAUUUCAUAUUAUAUUGUUUAAUAUUUAUAUUAUUUGAAUAUUCACGAUUAGUUUCGUAAUGCUAAGUUUGUCUCGAUUUCGAAUAUUUCUCAACCAAUGCUCAUCGUCGGAAUUGAUGAUUUUUGGGUUAAUAGGUUUUUAUAUAGUUUAAGUUUUUACAAGCUCAAUAUAUGCUCUACCAUGAUUAUAAUUCAAAAGAUAAAAGAAUUCAACAUGUUUAUUCAUGUCCAUUGUGAAGAUAUUAUGCAUUCAAUACUUUAUGCUGUUCAGCACAUGCUUUAUGCUCCGUUAGGUUCAAAUAUUAGGUCUUGCAUUAUGCUCAUACAUUUAAGAUUUAGUCCGCAUCUUGCUCAUAUAUUUGAAUGCUAAAUAAGCUUUUAUUUAUAAGAAAUAUUAUCAGCAUCCGUGUUCGUCAGUUAAAAUGCAUAUGCUCAUGCAUUAACGUAAAGUUUGUAAACCAAAGAUAUUAAUUGAUCAAUUAUAUUGUAAAAUCAUAUGAAUUAUAUGUUUCUAUUAUUUGCAUUAUAUACUAUUAUAUUGUUAUUAAUUAUAUGACUUUCUCAUGCGCUUUUGAAGAUACAAGUUCUAAAACCUA
This is a long non-coding RNA of Mytilus californianus (California mussel), 4098 nucleotides long. RefSeq lists it as uncharacterized. The transcript is spliced from 2 exons. The record is from RefSeq and is a predicted model, not a curated record. NCBI's taxonomy places the organism in Eukaryota, Metazoa, Mollusca, Bivalvia, Mytilida, Mytilidae.